Molecule: long non-coding RNA, 664 nt
Organism: Vombatus ursinus (common wombat)
Lineage: Eukaryota; Metazoa; Chordata; Mammalia; Diprotodontia; Vombatidae
Source: Ensembl
CUGUUUCCUAGUUCACACCCAGAAGCCAUGAUGCUUCGAUUUUGGGGGUGGGGCUCCAGAGGUAAGUUCUAUAAAAGGACUCUGGGUGGAAGUGACUGUUCACUCGUCUGACUCUUUCCUCCUGCAGCUUCCUCCAGGUCCUCCCUGAUACACUGAACCAUGGCAUCCACAAAGUACACUGCUUCUGAGAAACAGCUCAAUGCCAUUAUUGAAGUCUACCAUAAGUAUUCCCGAAAGUCAGGGAAUGAUGAUGCUCUGGAAAAAAAAGAGUUUGAAGGAUUAAUUAAGGAAGAGGCCCCUGAGUUCUUUGAAUAUUUGAAAAAGAAAAACAUCUCUCUGGAAGCUGUGUUCAAGAAAGCUGAUUUGGACCAUGACACGCAUAUGUUCUUUCCUGAGUUUGUGCUUGUGUUGGCCUUGAUAGCCAUUGAAAUCCAUGACAAAUACCACCGAGAUCAUGGCCCAGAAGGCCCAGACGGCCCAGAAGGUCCUGGCCACCAUGGUCAUGGCCACACACAUGGUCACCACCAUUGAGAUUACAGCUGGAAUUAGCUAAUCUUUGGAGACCCAGAAUGGAAAACCAUUGGAACACUUAGUCCCUUGACUAGUUUCUAGAUACUAAUGUAGACUCAAUAAAAAGCUCUCUUUUAAUUGAUCUAGUCUCUGU